UAGUAACUGCGAGUGAAGUGGGAAAAGCUCAAAUUUAAAAUCUGAUGGUCUUUGGCCGUCCGAGUUGUAAUUUAGAGAAGCGUCUUCCGCGCUGGACCGUGCACAAGUCUCCUGGAAUGGAGCGUCAUAGAGGGUGAGAAUCCCGUCUUUGGCACGGACACACCAGGGCUUUUGUGAUGCGCUCUCGAAGAGUCGAGUUGUUUGGGAAUGCAGCUCAAAAUGGGUGGUGAACUCCAUCUAAAGCUAAAUAUUGGCGAGAGACCGAUAGCGAACAAGUACCGUGAGGGAAAGAUGAAAAGCACUUUGGAAAGAGAGUGAAACAGUACGUGAAAUUGUUGAAAGGGAAACGCUUGAAGUCAGUCGCGUCGACCGAGACUCAGCCUUGCCUUGGCUUGGUGUACUUCUCGGCUGACGGGUCAGCAUCAAUUUUGCCCCUUGGAUAAUGGCGAGGGAAAUGUGACACCUUUGCGGUGUGUUAUAGUCCCUCGUCGCAUGCAAGGGUUGGGAUUGAGGAACUCAGCACGCGCCUUUGGGCGUCGGGGCUUUGCCCACGAUACGUGCUUAGGAUGUUGGCGUAAUGGCUUUAAACGACCCGUCUUGAAACACGGACCAAGGAGUCUAACAUGCCUGCGAGUGUUCGGGUGGAAAACCCGUGCGCGCAAUGAAAGUGAAAGUUGGGACCUCUGUCGUGGAGGGCACCGACGCCCGGACCAGACCUUCUGUGACGGCUCUGCGGUAGAGCAUGUAUGUUAGGACCCGAAAGAUGGUGAACUAUGCCUGAAUAGGGUGAAGCCAGAGGAAACUCUGGUGGAGGCUCGUAGCGAUUCUGACGUGCAAAUCGAUCGUCAAAUUUGGGUAUAGGGGCGAAAGACUAAUCGAACCAUCUAGUAGCU
This 893-nucleotide ribosomal RNA is filed under the name Russula paludosa. Its description in RNAcentral is "LSU rRNA". It matches the Rfam family "Eukaryotic large subunit ribosomal RNA", at positions 81 to 952 of the family's 3401-position model. Lineage: Eukaryota; Fungi; Basidiomycota; Agaricomycetes; Russulales; Russulaceae. The record is from RNAcentral.